Molecule: ribosomal RNA, 230 nt
Filed under: uncultured bacterium
Lineage: Bacteria
Description: partial 16S ribosomal RNA
Rfam family: Bacterial small subunit ribosomal RNA
Source: RNAcentral
CGAACAGUUGGAAACGACUGCUAAUACCGCAUACGAUCCAAUCUCGGCAUCGAGGAUGGAUGAAAGGUGGCCUCUAUUUAUAAGCUAUCACUGAAGGAGGGGAUUGCGUCUGAUUAGCUAGUUGGAGGGGGUAACGGGCCCACCAAGGCAAUGAUCAGUAGCCGGUCUGAGAGGAUGAACGGCCACAUUGGGACUGAGACACGGCCCAGACUCCUACGGGAGGCAGCAUG